Long non-coding RNA from Papaver somniferum (opium poppy), 999 nucleotides. RefSeq lists it as uncharacterized. NCBI's taxonomy places the organism in Eukaryota, Viridiplantae, Streptophyta, Magnoliopsida, Ranunculales, Papaveraceae. The transcript is spliced from 3 exons. The record is from RefSeq and is a predicted model, not a curated record.
UUAUGCUUGAAACGUUGCCUCCAGCAACUUACUUUAUAUGUAAGGCAGCCAACGGAUUCAACAUAACCCUCUAAUUGAAACACGGCAACAACAAGAAGAAGAAGAUAUAUGGAACAGAUUCUCUGCUGGUGAUGAGGAGUUCCCUAUGUUUAGUAGCUUUCAGUUAUACGAUACAAGUGGUAAUCAUGAUUCAAAUCUGCAAACUCCCAGCAAUAAUCUAGGAUAAGUUGGUAAGUUCCCUUGGAUAAGAGAAAGGGGAGAAAAAUUGUAUCUUCACCAGAUUCCACGAUUUGGGUUUUUAUGGGGAAACUUUGCUGGAGGCGUUGAACCAUGGUACGAGUAACACGAAUGCUAAAACCAAAUGUACGCUGAAGUUGGUUACAGAUAUUGCCGUUACUUCACUUAGGGGGAACUGUAUGGAGUUAAAUACGAUGAUUCGUGGCGCAUACCAAAAAUUGUAGCUCAUGUUUCAGAAACUAUCACUACUCUUUAUUUGUGACUUAUUCAACUCAAUGAAACUGCUUCAGGUCAGGUUAAUCGCAUCGUCAAUAUAAUCAUUCACAGUGGCAGAACUGGGAUGCCAAUAUAUAUAUAUAUAUAUAGGACGGGCUUGGCACGUAUUUAGUGGCAAAGACGAACCAAGGGAAAUGCCGGAUCCUGACUCAUACAUCGUCAUUUCAUUUUGUAUGUUAACUUGCUGAACUUUUUAGCUUAUAACAAUAGAAAGGAGUAUGGUUCAUGAUCCGCCAGUCUGCUAAUACCAUUUUAAUACAAGUUUGAGAAUGAGCAAAGUGUGGCGGAUCCUUCUCGAUGGAAAACUUUAGGAGUUUCAGUUUUUAUCCUCAAAGACUCAUGUUUCUAACCAAGCAAAUGAUACCUGUCUACUUUAGUUGAUUAUUUCAAGUCAUACAUAUAGACCUAAUUAGUUUCUGCCUUCAAUUACUACAUGUUGUACAACUGUUUUUAUUUUAUUUUUAUUUAAUUUUAUGUCUUUUCGCA